RNAcentral lists this ribosomal RNA (487 nucleotides) under uncultured Alphaproteobacteria bacterium. RNAcentral describes it as "bacterial SSU rRNA". It matches the Rfam family "Bacterial small subunit ribosomal RNA", at positions 38 to 573 of the family's 1533-position model. Lineage: Bacteria; Pseudomonadati; Pseudomonadota; Alphaproteobacteria. The record is from RNAcentral.
GGCGGCAGGCCUAAUACAUGCAAGUCGAGCGCACCUUCGGGUGAGCGGCGGACGGGUGAGUAACGCGUGGGAAUGUGCCCUUUGGUACGGAACAACUGAGGGAAACUUCAGCUAAUACCGUAUGUGCCCUUCGGGGGAAAGAUUUAUCGCCAUUGGAGCAGCCCGCGUUGGAUUAGGUAGUUGGUGAGGUAAAGGCUCACCAAGCCUACGAUCCAUAGCUGGUCUGAGAGGAUGAUCAGCCACACUGGGACUGAGACACGGCCCAGACUCCUACGGGAGGCAGCAGUAGGGAAUCUUGCGCAAUGGGCGGAAGCCUGACGCAGCCAUGCCGCGUGAAUGAUGAAGGUCUUAGGAUUGUAAAAUUCUUUCACCGGGGAAGAUAAUGACGGUACCCGGAGAAGAAGCCCCGGCUAACUUCGUGCCAGCAGCCGCGGUAAUACGAAGGGGGCUAGCGUUGCUCGGAAUUACUGGGCGUAAAGGGCGCGUA